CUAGACCACGUAGUGGGCAAUGGCAUAGAAGUUAACAAGCUCGGUUACCCUAACCAUUCCUAGGUGUCUCGGCUGUGUGCAGAAACUGUUAAUGUAACUUUGCCUUAUUAUUGAUCACUAAGGGGACUGAUCCUUAUUCCUAAUCUUCAGGAAUAUUUUUAAUCAUUUUCUAGUUUGUGCAUGGGAGCAGAGAGGGAGGAAGUGAUGCAUCCAGCUGGAUUCCUAGCAGCAGGGAGAGAACCUAGAGAAAGCAAAGUAAUGCUCAGGGAGUGGCAGCUGAGAAACAUCCAGUAGCUUCUAGUGGAAGCCAUAAACAGUUAUGUCCUGGAAUCCAGGGAAAUAACGUCACCCAGUUAUUGUUUAGCUGUGAAUUUGGCAACUCCAGCCUGAUCCAGAUCUUUGGGUAACUGAAAGGUGCAGGGCCUUCUCAGCAGUUUUAAUCCCAAUUAAAGGCAACAAAAAUGCAGACUCGGAUCCUUGGAGGAUUUUAAAAAAGGGGAGAUAGUGAAAUAGUGUGAACAACUGCUCAAGGGCCCCAGCUUUGCCCUUCUAUAUGCCUCAGUUACGCCGAUUGAGGCUCAUCAACAUCCCUGAUCUAAGAGAUGGGCAGGAAAUGCAUGAUAUUACUUGAGCCAGUCUGCUUUCACCAGAUAACGAAUUCCCAUCCUGGCCAGGUGCAAUGGGAGCAAGACCUGGGGCAUCUCCUAGCCAUUAUCCUCUUAAAGCACAUGGCCUUUUCAGCACUGUUCUGCAAAAGGGUUUAAUGAGAACCUUUGUUGUAUUGUGAGUUUCAAACAUGCUUCUGAGGGCAUUUUAUCCCUGCAGGGAUUCCAGAGCUUCUCUGCCUUCGUUAGCGUCUUUCUUUAAAUUUGACUGUUGCAGCCUUCUGUGUUCUGUGUACGUUGCUUGCUUGUGGAUUUAGUCUUCCCAGUAAUCUCAGCUGAGUUGGACUUCUGGGCAAGUGUCAGGCAGACUGAUCCUGAUUCAGGGCAGAGAAACGGGGCAGGCAAGGCUAUGGAAUUCUGUUGCUUCUCACCAAAAGGCUCCUUUUUCUCUGUAUCAGACCCUGGGAACUUCCACUUUUCCAUGGAGAAAUUGGGAAAUAGAUUUUUAAAGUUUUGGGGCGUCACGUGAUGCACUGGGGUCAGGCAAGAGACUUGGGUCUUACUCUCUGCUCUUUCACUUACUCACUUUAAUCUUGGGCAAGUUGGUUCAGCAUCUCCAUGUUUCCCCAUCUGUAAAACUGGCACAAUACUUGCUUUGCUUCAUAAAGUGCUUUGAGAUCUCUCGGUGAAAAGCUCCUUGUAAGCGUGAAGCAUUAAUAAAGAUCUAAUCUGCAUAGCUGGAAACUUAUGGAUAUUUGUGACCUUAGCAAGAAAGCUCAGUGCCAGAGAUGUGAGACUUGUUCUCAGUAACCUGAGGUGGUACUUUAUUUAUUUAAUAUUAUUUAAGCCAAAAUGUGAAGUGCAGGAAUGGAAUUCUUUCUGGUUUACACUUUCCUACACCCGGCCCAGUCAUUCUACUACUGUCACAAAUGUUCCUUCUCAGCCGCAUUGCUGCUGCUGGCAGGGGGACUCAGAAUGAAGCUGAAAUGCAUUUUGUAGCAUCUGCAUCACCAAAAAAUUGAACUUCCUGAGUAUGUUGAGCUGAGCCUGUGUGGCCCUUUGUGAAACAGUGAGGUGGGGGGUAGAUGUUUGCAGAUGCAGAGACAAGUUGUUGCAUUCUUCCCUUUUUUGGUGGUGUGUAUCUGCUCCAGUUGUCUGAUUUGCCUUUCCCAGCCCCCGGACAACCUCUUGGAGUAUCAGAAAGUUGGGAGAGCUCCCAAGGCAUUAAACUUAAAUUUGCCGUUUUCUGUGGAUUAGUCAUUCAGUCAGAAUUCUGGUAUGGGACAGUGGUGGGUGAGGAGUCCAGAAAAUAGGCUUUGCCUUGUGUACGUGAGGGCUGCAUUGGAGUGGGACUGGAGACCUGGCUGCUGUUGACACGGUUGACCUCUGUCAAAUCAGUUUCUGCCUGUAUUUCCUCAUCUCUAAAAUGGGGAUAAUGGCACUUGGCUGCUUUGUGUAAAGUGCAUUGAUCUUCCUGGGGAGGGUCAUAAAUGCUAGAUACUAAAUCUUGUCAUUCAUUUAAGUGCAGGUUGCAGGAGUGAUGGUUUCCCCAAUUACUUGGGGAAACUAUCGGGCAACAAAUUGGUGGGGAAGGGGAGGAGAAAGUGGGUUUAAAGUGGACUUGGUUAAGGGUUUGUAUGGGGGAUCCCAUAGCCUUCCAUUUAAAAAAAAAUACUGAGACGAUAUGUGCAGCUCUCUUUAAAGCUUCCCAUAUGUGUAAACAUCGGAGAUGAUCAAUUGAGGGUCCCCUUUCUCCUUGAGAGGUGUUCCUGUUUGCAGGCCACUCCUCUGCCUGUUUCCUCCCAGUUUGUUUAUAAUCUGGACUGUCAGCUCAUUGGAAGCAGGAAUUAAAGCCAUCCCACUUAGAACUGCGCGCUAAAAGAAUUCAAACUUAGGUGAACUAUGGUGGUAGCACUGAGGGCCGCUGGGCGUCGCUCAGGAGCCCUUGUGCUAGGUGGUAUGAGAGAGCGCGAGCGCCUCCCCCAAAGCACAAUCUAAGUCUGAGGUGGCAGGAGCACAAGGAGACAAUGAGACUUUCCAGUUGUCUCAAUUGUUAUUGCUACCUCUACUGUGGGAAUAAAGAUCUGUUAGAACAUAAAGGGCAUUGACCCUAUUGAUAACUGGCUUUGUGAGCAGGCUCAGUAGAGAGGCCAAAAAUUGGAGUGGACCAUGUAGGCUGAAUUCCCCUCUAUAAUGGUUGUGCAGGUAAGUGCGUUGACUGGGGGUGGGGGAAUCUUGUCCAGUGGCUGCUUUUGCUGUCACUCGAGGGGUGCUUUCUGCUUGCUGCUCGCUUCUGAAGUGAUUAUGCCCAUCACUGGCCUGUGAAUAGACAAGAGCUUUAAAGCUCCCGUCCAUGCCAUCCUAUCACACUUUCCCACCGCCAAAAUCACAUGGCUUUGUUUUUAAAUUGGCCCCGUUAUUAAGGUGCCAGAGCCUGUUUUAAUGUACUCACGUUUGCUGCAGAGCAGUGACUCUGAACUCAUUGAUUUGGGUAUUGGAGAAGGUCCGCUGAACUAACAGAUUUCAAGCUCCUUGUUCGAGGAGUGAAAUCAAGCAAUUACAUUGCACCUGUUACCUAAAGAUUCCAAAGUUCAAGCAGUUGCUUCAGAUUUGCUUGGCUGUUUUUAGGCUGGUAAGUUAAGCUACAACUCGGGCCAUGCAAACCUUUAGCUAGGUGUAGCUUGCAGUAGCCCAUGUGCCUUAUCCUGCUGAGGGAUGGAUGGAUGGAUUUCCUCUCAUUUCUUCUGAGGGGUGUUGCUUGAAUACUGCAAUACUAUUUAAAAUCUCUUGGCUGUGAAAGUUUGUCUCUACACGUAGGAUGAAGUAAUUUUGCUUACGGGGAAAAUGAUCUAAUGUAAUGUGCCUCAGAAGAUUGAUUUUUAAGCACAGAAGUGGAGCUAAAAAUGGAUGGAGAGGCAGGGAAAAUAAUGUCAUUUAUACCCAAUCCUCCCCUCCCUCAUUUCCUGUUAUAUUGGAGCUGAUAAAAUGAUGACAAACGGAGGGUAGAAGGAGAGGUAGCUGUUUAUGAAAUAGAGGCAAGUUUUAUUCCUAUCUCGGGUGGUUCAAUCCUUUACUGGUAGCUGGGUUUAGUUAAAUAAAGAUUUCCUCUACAUGGAUCUUUCACCCCUCCCUUCCCCACCUUCCCUUUCUGGAGAAAAAGCCCAUAGCUCUAGUUAAAUAGGUGAUAGGGUGGGACAUUGGCAACUGUUAGACUUUCACCUCUGGAGAUCUGGGUUCAAAUCCUGUUUGGAUUGUGCAUUAAAGUAAAUUGGGUUUCAGUGCUGUUUGUUCCCAGCAUCCUGCCGUUCUGCUGAGAGUCCUAGGACUGGUAUAGCUGGAGUGUGUCAGGGCAGGGAACUGCAUUAACCACGCUGCGUCAGGGACAAUUUGCAAUGCCUGCCAUAUGCCACUGUGUCUACUUAGGUCUCGCUAAUGUGAGCGGUCGUUUGUGGGAACACAGUCGCUUCCAGUUGUUUUCUUAAAAGUCCAACAUAUGCUUCCCUUCUUGCAAAGCUCAUUCAUGGAGCCCAGUUCUUUGUGACGUCUAGGGAGACUCGGACGACUUCCAAGGCUGUUUGUAAGAUGAAUUCAGGGUCCAAUCCCUUUCUCUGGAGUCAGCCAGGCAAAUUUUAACAUUGACGUCAGUGAGAGCAGGAUUGCUCCCGUGGUGUAGCUGGAGGGAUGGAUGAAGUAACUUCAGCACUAUGUGUGUGGUGUUUUUCUGUUAUGUCCCAGUCCUGCAAACACUGACUCCUCUGCCAGGAGUAUCUCACUGGUAGUAAAUGCUGUGCCCCCAAAGAAGUGUUGGCAGGACCAGACUCUGAAACUGCUAGUGUCUCAGCACUCUUCUUAUUUAUAUAUAGCUACAAUACGCACACACACCAGGCUGCACCUGACCUUUCCCAUGGUUGCUGGAAUGGUGGAGGGAGAUGUCAAGAACUGGGGCUUGCUGCAGUCUCCCAUAAGCUGCUGUUUUAGGAACACAUUUUCCUCCCACUGACUAGACUUCAGGCCUACAAUAAAAGCCACCCUCCACCCCAUUCUGAAGAUGGUGCUAUUUUCCUCCCCAGUGACUAUCGAUACACUUGCCAGGUUUCUUCACUGACCAGGGAGUAGCCUUAUCCACUAGUCUAACCGGGAUUGCUAAAUAACUUCAGGCACAGGUGCUGUUCCCCGAAGAGCGGUAAUUAGCUGUCGAACUCUGUACUAGCUGCGAGGGCUCCUCUAGGAAUUUAUUGACCACAUCUAGGCAGUUUGCUUUCUGUACUGACAGCAAACCUUUGUACACCAGAGCUUGGAAGCAUGAAAACUUUGACGCCCUUUUUCCUUAGAGAGAGAGCUCCUAAUUAAUACUCGUAGGUUGUUGCUGUUAAUAAUUCUGCUUCUCUUGUUUUGCCUGAGCCAAAAGCAUUAAGAGCACUGGUAGCGUGGAACGAUGAUUGCUUUCUAAUAAGAAAUGGAAACUGUACAGUGGACAGUAAAACAUUAAUCUAUUUAAAUCACAGUUUGGGGAGAAAUUAAGUGUUUUUGUGAACUAUCAAGCACUGAGGAAAAUCACAAUAGAUGAGGUUUUUUAAGUACAAAUUUAGUCAGUAUAAAUAUCUGAUUUUUUUGUUAAUUCAAAUUCCCUUCCCCAUUCCGCUGAACAACUCCAUAGAUGACCCUUGGUUUUCACAAAUGAGUUGGACGUACCUUUCUCAUUAAAUUUAGUGCCAUAUUUUAUUUAUCUGUUAUGCAUUAUAAAUAUCUAUCUAUUUAGACUGAAUAUUGCAAUACCAGAUGCUGUUGUUGUGGAACUUCAGGGCAUAAACCCAAUACUAAAACUGAAAAUAUCCCUCCAGUAUAUUAGCGCUUGUGACUGUCUAAAAGUCAUCUUGGUUUUCAUGUUUUGAUUUCAAUAUUAACAAUGAGCGAACCACUUCCUAAAGGUCUGAAGAUGCUAGUGCUGAAGUUCAAGGUCUCUCAAGUUUGACCCUGUGAUUCUAAGGUAUAUCUGGUUGCUUUUCUGGUGCAGUGGAAUUGUCCUUUGGAAAGGUGAUUUUUCUGGCAUUGUUAAAGAGAAGGCAGAAUGGCCUAAUCCAGCCUGCUUGGCUCCACCCUCCUGCCCCCCAAUAUAAAUUCUUGAAGUGGUCAGUUUUAAAUUAAAAACCAGUUCUUUAGGUCUCUGUUCUUUGUAAGAAAGCGUUUUAGGAGUGGGAGUCUGCCCUUGCUGGGUGGGACUGGACAGAGGAAUGCAAAUGAAGUUGCUGUUGCUCAGGAAUUGAUUAGUAAAACUUUUAACUACUAAUAAAAAUCCAUUUUUCAAUGGAUUUAAAACAAAAAAGAAAAACCCAUUUUCUUGCGUAGAACAUGUGAUAUGGGAUGUUUCCUAAUGAACAGGAAUCAGUUUAUACAUUUUAGCCUCUGAAAUUGAAUUAUUUAAAAUUCAAACUUCCCCUAAUUUAUCUGUCUGGUUUUUUUAUACUGGAAUGUUGCCCUGUCAUUCUUCCAUAGAACUAGUGUGAAUUCUUCCGGUGUGUAUAUAUGUAUGUAAUAGUGUGUAUAUAUUAUAUAUAUAUAUAUAUAUAUAUUUUCCACCCACCCUUCUAAUUUUCCACAAUGCAAGAGUUAGUUUUUUUCUCCCCUCCCUUCUGCUUUAAUUUCUUGUCUUUUACCUUGAUUUGUAAUUGAAACAAUGCUUUGAAGUUCUGUCUUUAUAUUAAAAUGUAUGUAUUUUAAUACA
This is a long non-coding RNA of Gopherus flavomarginatus (Mexican gopher tortoise), 6327 nucleotides long. RefSeq lists it as uncharacterized. The record is from RefSeq and is a predicted model, not a curated record. NCBI's taxonomy places the organism in Eukaryota, Metazoa, Chordata, Testudines, Testudinidae. The transcript has 2 exons.